This 519-nucleotide ribosomal RNA is filed under the name uncultured bacterium. RNAcentral describes it as "bacterial SSU rRNA". It matches the Rfam family "Bacterial small subunit ribosomal RNA", at positions 372 to 896 of the family's 1533-position model. The record is from RNAcentral.
UGGGCGGAAGCCUGACGCAGCGACGCCGCGUGAGGGAUGACGGCCUUCGGGUUGUAAACCUCUUUCGGCGGGGACGAAGCCUGUUUUGCAGGUGACGGUACCCGCAGAAGAAGCACCGGCUAACUACGUGCCAGCAGCCGCGGUAAUACGUAGGGUGCGAGCGUUGUCCGGAAUUAUUGGGCGUAAAGAGCUCGUAGGCGGUUUGUCGCGUCGGCCGUGGAAACCGGGGGCUUAACCCUCGGCGUGCGGUCGAUACGGGCAGACUUGAGUUCGGCAGGGGAGACUGGAAUUCCUGGUGUAGCGGUGGAAUGCGCAGAUAUCGGGAGGAAUACCAGUGGCGAAGGCGGCCUUCUGGACUGACACUGACACNNNNGUGCGAAAGCGUGGGUAGCAAACAGGAUUAGAUACCCUGGUAGUCCACGCCGUAAACGNDGUCGDGUAGCCGCUGGGUUCCUGNDGGACUUAGUGGCGCAGUUAACGCGAUAAGUCGACCGCCUGGGGAGUACGGCCGCAAGGUUA